CAUGCAAGUCGAACGGUAACAGGAAGCAGCUUGCUGCUUUGCUGACGAGUGGCGGACGGGUGAGUAAUGUCUGGGAAACUGCCUGAUGGAGGGGGAUAACUACUGGAAACGGUGGCUAAUACCGCAUAACGUCGCAAGACCAAAGAGGGGGACCUUCGGGCCUCUUGCCAUCAGAUGUGCCCAGAUGGGAUUAGCUUGUUGGUGAGGUAACGGCUCACCAAGGCGACGAUCCCUAGCUGGUCUGAGAGGAUGACCAGCCACACUGGAACUGAGACACGGUCCAGACUCCUACGGGAGGCAGCAGUGGGGAAUAUUGCACAAUGGGCGCAAGCCUGAUGCAGCCAUGCCGCGUGUAUGAAGAAGGCCUUCGGGUUGUAAAGUACUUUCAGCGGGGAGGAAGGUGUUGUGGUUAAUAACCGCAGCAAUUGACGUUACCCGCAGAAGAAGCACCGGCUAACUCCGUGCCAGCAGCCGCGGUAAUACGGAGGGUGCAAGCGUUAAUCGGAAUUACUGGGCGUAAAGCGCACGCAGGCGGUCUGUCAAGUCGGAUGUGAAAUCCCCGGGCUCAACCUGGGAACUGCAUUCGAAACUGGCAGGCUUGAGUCUUGUAGAGGGGGGUAGAAUUCCAGGUGUAGCGGUGAAAUGCGUAGAGAUCUGGAGGAAUACCGGUGGCGAAGGCGGCCCCCUGGACAAAGACUGACGCUCAGGUGCGAAAGCGUGGGGAGCAAACAGGAUUAGAUACCCUGGUAGUCCACGCCGUAAACGAUGUCUACUUGGAGGUUGUGCCCUUGAGGCGUGGCUUCCGGAGCUAACGCGUUAAGUAGACCGCCUGGGGAGUACGGCCGCAAGGUUAAAACUCAAAUGAAUUGACGGGGGCCCGCACAAGCGGUGGAGCAUGUGGUUUAAUUCGAUGCAACGCGAAGAACCUUACCUGGUCUUGACAUCCACAGAACUUUCCAGAGAUGGAUUGGUGCCUUCGGGAACUGUGAGACAGGUGCUGCAUGGCUGUCGUCAGCUCGUGUUGUGAAAUGUUGGGUUAAGUCCCGCAACGAGCGCAACCCUUAUCCUUUGUUGCCAGCGGUCCGGCCGGGAACUCAAAGGAGACUGCCAGUGAUAAACUGGAGGAAGGUGGGGAUGACGUCAAGUCAUCAUGGCCCUUACGACCAGGGCUACACACGUGCUACAAUGGCGCAUACAAAGAGAAGCGACCUCGCGAGAGCAAGCGGACCUCAUAAAGUGCGUCGUAGUCCGGAUUGGAGUCUGCAACUCGACUCCAUGAAGUCGGAAUCGCUAGUAAUCGUGGAUCAGAAUGCCACGGUGAAUACGUUCCCGGGCCUUGUACACACCGCCCGUCACACCAUGGGAGUGGGUUGCAAAAGAAGUAGGUAGCUUAACCUUCGGGGGGGCGCUUACCAC
This 1416-nucleotide ribosomal RNA is filed under the name Salmonella enterica subsp. enterica serovar Typhi. RNAcentral's name for it is "bacterial SSU rRNA". It matches the Rfam family "Bacterial small subunit ribosomal RNA". The record is from RNAcentral. Lineage: Bacteria; Pseudomonadati; Pseudomonadota; Gammaproteobacteria; Enterobacterales; Enterobacteriaceae.